AUUGCUUCUUGGCCUUUGGGCUAAGAUCAAGUGUAGUAUCUGUUCUAAUUAGUUUAAUUAUUUGUUGUUUAUUGAUAUUUCUU
Molecule: small nuclear RNA, 83 nt
Filed under: Pteropus vampyrus (large flying fox)
Lineage: Eukaryota; Metazoa; Chordata; Mammalia; Chiroptera; Pteropodidae
Description: U2 spliceosomal RNA (ENSPVAG00000027962.1)
Rfam family: U2 spliceosomal RNA
About the family: U2 is a small nuclear RNA (snRNA) component of the spliceosome (involved in pre-mRNA splicing). Complementary binding between U2 snRNA (in an area lying towards the 5' end but 3' to hairpin I) and the branchpoint sequence (BPS) of the intron results the bulging out of an unpaired adenosine, on the BPS, which initiates a nucleophilic attack at the intronic 5' splice site, thus starting the first of two transesterification reactions that mediate splicing.
Source: RNAcentral